GACGAACGCUGGCGGCGUGCCUAAUACAUGCAAGUAGAACGCUGAAGGAGGAGCUUGCUCUUCUGGAUGAGUUGCGAACGGGUGAGUAACGCGUAGGUAACCUGCCUGGUAGCGGGGGAUAACUAUUGGAAACGAUAGCUAAUACCGCAUAACAGUAGAUGUUGCAUGACAUUUACUUAAAAGGUGCAAUUGCAUCACUACCAGAUGGACCUGCGUUGUAUUAGCUAGUUGGUGGGGUAACGGCUCACCAAGGCGACGAUACAUAGCCGACCUGGGAGGGUGAUCGGCCACACUGGGACUGAGACACGGCCCAGACUCCUACGGGAGGCAGCAGUAGGGAAUCUUCGGCAAUGGACGGAAGUCUGACCGAGCAACGCCGCGUGAGUGAAGAAGGUUUUCGGAUCGUAAAGCUCUGUUGUAAGAGAAGAACGAGUGUGAGAGUGGAAAGUUCACACUGUGACGGUAUCUUACCAGAAAGGGACGGCUAACUACGUG
This 495-nucleotide ribosomal RNA is filed under the name uncultured bacterium. Its description in RNAcentral is "partial 16S ribosomal RNA". It matches the Rfam family "Bacterial small subunit ribosomal RNA", at positions 28 to 507 of the family's 1533-position model. The record is from RNAcentral.